Molecule: ribosomal RNA, 440 nt
Filed under: uncultured bacterium
Lineage: Bacteria
Description: partial 16S ribosomal RNA
Rfam family: Bacterial small subunit ribosomal RNA
Source: RNAcentral
CCUACGGGAGGCUGCAGUGGGGAAUAUUGCACAAUGGGCGAAACCCUGAUGCAGCGACGCCGCGUGAGUGAAGAAGUCUCUCGGUACGUAAAGCUCUAUCAGCAGGGAAGAAAAUGCCUGUAACUGACUGAGAAGCUACGGCUAACAACGGGCUAGCCGCCGCGGUAAUACGCAGGGGGAGAGCCCUCUCCGGUGUGACUGGGUGUAACGGGCGCGUAGGCGGCUGCACAAGUCAAGAGUGAAAUCCCGGGGCUUAACCUUGGUACGGCUUUGGAUACUAGGCGGCUGGAGUGCAGGAGGGGUUAGCGGAAUUCCUGGUGUAGCGGUGAAAUGCGUAGAUAUUAGGAGGAACACCGGUAGCGAAGGCGGCUAACUGGACUGUAACUGACGUUGAGGCUCGAAAGCGUGGGGAGCAAACAGGAUUAGAUACCCUUGUAGUC